CAGUCGCCGCGGUAAUACGUAGGUGGCAAGCGUUGUCCGGAAUUAUUGGGCGUAAAGGGCUCGCAGGCGGUUUCUUAAGUCUGAUGUGAAAGCCCCCGGCUCAACCGGGGAGGGUCAUUGGAAACUGGGAAACUUGAGUGCAGAAGAGGAGAGUGGAAUUCCACGUGUAGCGGUGAAAUGCGUAGAGAUGUGGAGGAACACCAGUGGCGAAGGCGACUCUCUGGUCUGUAACUGACGCUGAGGAGCGAAAGCGUGGGGAGCGAACAGGAUUAGAUACCCCCGUAGCCCUGUCUCUUAUACC
This 301-nucleotide ribosomal RNA is filed under the name uncultured bacterium. RNAcentral's name for it is "partial 16S ribosomal RNA". It matches the Rfam family "Bacterial small subunit ribosomal RNA", at positions 509 to 808 of the family's 1533-position model. The record is from RNAcentral.